UGGUUGUGAUGCAGUCGAGCGGACAGAUGGGAGCUUGCUCCCUGAUGUUAGCGGCGGACGGGUGAGUAACACGUGGGUAACCUGCCUGUAAGACUGGGAUAACUCCGGGAAACCGGGGCUAAUACCGGAUGCUUAUUUGAACCGCAUGGUUCAAAUAUAAAAGGUGGCUUCGGCUACCACUUACAGAUGGACCCGCGGCGCAUUAGCUAGUUGGUGAGGUAACGGCUCACCAAGGCAACGAUGCGUAGCCGACCUGAGAGGGUGAUCGGCCACACUGGGACUGAGACACGGCCCAGACUCCUACGGGAGGCAGCAGUAGGGAAUCUUCCGCAAUGGACGAAAGUCUGACGGAGCAACGCCGCGUGAGUGAUGAAGGUUUUCGGAUCGUAAAGCUCUGUUGUUAGGGAAGAACAAGUACCGUUCGAAUAGGGCGGUACCUUGACGGUACCUAACCAGAAAGCCACGGCUAACUACGUGCCAGCAGCCGCGGUAAUACGUAGGUGGCAAGCGUUGUCCGGAAUUAUUGGGCGUAAAGGGCUCGCAGGCGGUUUCUUAAGUCUGAUGUGAAAGCCCCCGGCUCAACCGGGGAGGGUCAUUGGAAACUGGGGAACUUGAGUGCAGAAGAGGAGAGUGGAAUUCCACGUGUAGCGGUGAAAUGCGUAGAGAUGUGGAGGAACACCAGUGGCGAAGGCGACUCUCUGGUCUGUAACUGACGCUGAGGAGCGAAAGCGUGGGGAGCGAACAGGAUUAGAUACCCUGGUAGUCCACGCCGUAACGAUGAGUGCUAAGUGUUAGGGGGUUUCCGCCCCUUAGUGCUGCAGCUAACGCAUUAAGCACUCCGCCUGGGGAGUACGGUCGCAAGACUGAAACUCAAGGAAUUGACGGGGGCCCGCACAAGCGGUGGAGCAUGUGGUUUAUUCGAAGCAACGCGAGACCUUACCAGGUCUUGACAUCCUCUGACAUCCUAGAGAUAGGACGUCCCCUUC
RNAcentral lists this ribosomal RNA (986 nucleotides) under Bacillus subtilis. Its description in RNAcentral is "bacterial SSU rRNA". It matches the Rfam family "Bacterial small subunit ribosomal RNA", at positions 48 to 1021 of the family's 1533-position model. Lineage: Bacteria; Bacillati; Bacillota; Bacilli; Caryophanales; Bacillaceae. The record is from RNAcentral.